This 90-nucleotide ribosomal RNA is filed under the name Streptomyces sp. AS58. Its description in RNAcentral is "partial 16S ribosomal RNA". It matches the Rfam family "Bacterial small subunit ribosomal RNA", at positions 1452 to 1533 of the family's 1533-position model. Lineage: Bacteria; Bacillati; Actinomycetota; Actinomycetes; Kitasatosporales; Streptomycetaceae. The record is from RNAcentral.
GCUGUCGAAGGUGGGACUGGCGAUUGGGACGAAGUCGUAACAAGGUAGCCGUACCGGAAGGUGCGGCUGGAUCACCUCCUUUCUAAGGAG